GCCCUCGUAGCUCAGUUGGAUAGAGCGGCAGUUUCCUAAACUGCAGGUCACAGGUUCGAGUCCUGUCGGGGGUA
RNAcentral lists this transfer RNA (74 nucleotides) under Planctomycetota bacterium. RNAcentral's name for it is "Planctomycetes bacterium (freshwater metagenome) tRNA-Arg". It matches the Rfam family "tRNA". Rfam says of the family: Transfer RNA (tRNA) molecules are approximately 80 nucleotides in length. Lineage: Bacteria; Pseudomonadati; Planctomycetota. The record is from RNAcentral.